UCUGAGCACAAUGGGGGACUCCUUAUAGUCCCAGCUACUCAGGAGGCUGAGGCAAGAGGAAAUCCCAAGCCCAGGAGCUCUGGGAUGCUGUGAACUACGCCCAUAGGGUGUCUGCAUUAAGUUCGGCAUCAAUAUGGUGACCUCCCCCCAGGGAGCAGGGGACCAGCCCAAGUCACAAAUGGAGCAAGUCAAAACUUCUGUGCUGAUCAGUAGUGAGAUCGCCCCUGUGAAUAGCCACUGCACUCCAGCUUGGACAAUAGUAAGACCUUGUCUCU
Molecule: unclassified non-coding RNA, 275 nt
Organism: Vulpes vulpes (red fox)
Lineage: Eukaryota; Metazoa; Chordata; Mammalia; Carnivora; Canidae
Rfam family: Metazoan signal recognition particle RNA
About the family: The signal recognition particle (SRP) is a universally conserved ribonucleoprotein. It is involved in the co-translational targeting of proteins to membranes.
Source: Ensembl